Molecule: ribosomal RNA, 771 nt
Filed under: Triticum aestivum (bread wheat)
Lineage: Eukaryota; Viridiplantae; Streptophyta; Magnoliopsida; Poales; Poaceae
Description: partial small subunit ribosomal RNA
Source: RNAcentral
AUGAAGGCCUUAUUUUGGAAUAUUAGGGGUUUCGGCGCUAGGGGGCGCAGGGACCAGCUUAAAGAUCUUGUUCGCUCUGAGAACAUAGACAUCAUUGGCCUUGUUGAAACACUUAAACCUUCCUUCUCCUCGAAUGAACUCUCUGUUGUGGCUGGGAUCAAUAGGUUUGACUGGAAUCUUUUGCCUUCUUCUGGCCACUCGGGUGGAAUACUUCUUGGCACCAAAAGAGAUAUGUUCGAUUUUGUUGCCUUUGAUUAUGGUAUUUUUUGGGCCAGUACUGUAGUUUCUCACCGCUCCCUCAAUAUGCUCUUGGAAGUUAUGGUUGUUUAUGGCCCGGCUGAUCACUCUCUUUCUCAUAUCUUCUUGGAUGAAAUUCUGAAUAAGAUAGAGUCUUGUGACCUCCCUCUGCUUAUUGCCGGCGACUUUAAUCUGAUGCGUUCUCCUCUGGAUAAAAAUUUGCCUAAUUUUUCUUGGCCGCUUGCUGACGCGUUUAACGCUUUUAUUCGGGAUUCUGCUAUCCGCGAAACACCUAGGGUUGGUGCCCGAUACACCUGGACGAACCACCAAACGGCUCCCAUCUGUUCUGUUCUUGAUCGUGUUUUUAUAUGUCCCAGGUGGGACUCAUUGCUUCCUCGGGCCUCCCUGCGGGCCUUGCCCAUCGUGGGGACUGACCACGCGCCCUUGAUUCUUGACGAUGGGAUUCGCUCUGUCUCUUUCCGCGAUUUCAGUUUGAUGCGUCUUGGCUCCUGGUUGAUGGUUUUGCUGACCUGA